CUGACCUCGGAUCAGGUAGGGAUACCCGCUGAACUUAAGCAUAUC
RNAcentral lists this ribosomal RNA (45 nucleotides) under Choiromyces meandriformis. RNAcentral describes it as "partial 28S ribosomal RNA". Lineage: Eukaryota; Fungi; Ascomycota; Pezizomycetes; Pezizales; Tuberaceae. The record is from RNAcentral.